CCUACGGGAGGCAGCAGUGAGGAAUAUUGGUCAAUGGACGAGAGUCUGAACCAGCCAAGCAGCGUGAAGGAUGAUUGCCCUAUGGGUUGUAAACUUCUUUUAUAUGGGAAUAAAAUGUUCCACGUGUGGGAUUCUGUAUGUCCCAUAUGAAUAAGGAUCGGUUAACUCCGUGCAAGAAGCGGCGGUAAUCCGGAGGAUCCGAGAGUUAUCCGGUUUUAUUGGGUUUAAGGGGAGCGUGGGUGGAUUGUGAAGUCGGUGGUGAAGGUUUGCGGCUCAACCGUAGAAUUGCCGUUGAUACUGGCAGGCUGGAGUGCAGAAGAGGUGGGCGGAAUUCGUGGUGUAGCGGUGAAAUGCUUAGAUAUCACAAAGAACACCGAUUGCGAAGGCAGUUCACUGGACUGCAACUGACACUGAGGCACGAAAGUGUGGGUAUCAAACAGGAUUAGAUACCCCAGUAGUC
This 460-nucleotide ribosomal RNA is filed under the name uncultured bacterium. Its description in RNAcentral is "partial 16S ribosomal RNA". It matches the Rfam family "Bacterial small subunit ribosomal RNA", at positions 338 to 795 of the family's 1533-position model. The record is from RNAcentral.